UGUCAAAUGGGUUAUAAAAAACCUUGCAUCUGUGGGUUGUAGAGAUGCCUUGUGUGAAACAAAGAAAAUAAAGAUGUGGUGACCUGAUAUGUGAGUGUUGAACUGCAUCUUGGACAUAAUCAAGAUUGAAGAAGAAUCUAAAGGACCAUCACAGAAUAAUCACAACUGUACACAAUACAGAGAUCAACAAAUUGUGGAACGUCCAGUUCCAGUGGGUACAUCUACAUCACAGGUCCUGCAUGUAAGACUCAGGGAUCAUCACAGGAAAGGGAACAGAAAGAUUGGAAGGGCCAGAACACCAGAAAGACUGCUAUGAGGCUGGGUCUCCCCAAAAUGGAUAUUCUGAACAAUGGCAAUAUCAACAGACAUAAAUGUGGAAGAGAGAAGAUCUUUUGCAGCCAUACCCAUGGACAAGGAGCUGCAGGCUACUGAUAUCUACAAAAGUCUCCCCAGAACUGACUAUUUCCUCUGCUGCAUACUCUAAACUGGAUCAGUGUAAGGGCUUGAAAGUUAAGAAAUCAACUGAAGAUAUCCAAGAAGAGUGUCAAUAGCCUGUAAUGUUUAGUAGUCUAUUGUCCAUAGAAGGUAAGACCCUAUUGCAGAAGGUACCAUAUACUUGAGCCAUAGAACAUGGAGAAGUCAAUAUGGCAACUUUAAACCUACUGAAUAGAUUUCACAGAGCUGGAAGCAAUCAUCAAUAGUACCCAAAUAUGAACUCUGAGAGCUGAAACAACAAUGAACUUGGUGCAAUUGUGUCAUGAACAUCAUGGGAUUAACCAACCACUUGAUUGAAUUGAAGGCCCACAUCACAAGAUGGAACCCAUGAAAGGACCAUUUUUAUGGACUAGAAUAUGUGGCUAGAGAGUUAUAUAGACUCUAGGGAAGAACUUAAUAUUA
This is a long non-coding RNA of Peromyscus eremicus (cactus mouse), 897 nucleotides long. RefSeq lists it as uncharacterized. The record is from RefSeq and is a predicted model, not a curated record. NCBI's taxonomy places the organism in Eukaryota, Metazoa, Chordata, Mammalia, Rodentia, Cricetidae. The transcript has 3 exons.